GGGCCUGUAGCCAAGUUGGUUAAGGCACCGGACUCAUAAUCCGGCUAUCCUGGGUUCAAGCCCCAGCGGGCCUACCA
This 77-nucleotide transfer RNA is filed under the name Sutterella wadsworthensis. RNAcentral's name for it is "tRNA-Met". It matches the Rfam family "tRNA". Rfam says of the family: Transfer RNA (tRNA) molecules are approximately 80 nucleotides in length. Lineage: Bacteria; Pseudomonadati; Pseudomonadota; Betaproteobacteria; Burkholderiales; Sutterellaceae. The record is from RNAcentral. RNAcentral also lists the same sequence under 6 other names.